RNAcentral lists this ribosomal RNA (1372 nucleotides) under uncultured bacterium. RNAcentral describes it as "bacterial SSU rRNA". It matches the Rfam family "Bacterial small subunit ribosomal RNA", at positions 28 to 1381 of the family's 1533-position model. The record is from RNAcentral.
GAUGAACGCUGGCGGCGUGCCUAAUACAUGCAAGUCGAGCGAACGGACGAGAAGCUUGCUUCUCUGAUGUUAGCGGCGGACGGGUGAGUAACACGUGGAUAACCUACCUAUAAGACUGGGAUAACUUCGGGAAACCGUAGCUAAUACCGGAUAAUAUUUUGAACCGCAUGGUUCAAAAGUGAAAGACGGUCUAGCUGUCACUUAUAGAUGGAUCCGCGCUGCAUUAGCUAGUUGGUAAGGUAACGGCUUACCAAGGCAACGAUGCAUAGCCGACCUGAGAGGGUGAUCGGCCACACUGGAACUGAGACACGGUCCAGACUCCUACGGGAGGCAGCAGUAGGGAAUCUUCCGCAAUGGGCGAAAGCCUGACGGAGCAACGCCGCGUGAGUGAUGAAGGUCUUCGGAUCGUAAAACUCUGUUAUUAGGGAAGAACAUAUGUGUAAGUAACUGUGCACAUCUUGACGGUACCUAAUCAGAAAGCCACGGCUAACUACGUGCCAGCAGCCGCGGUAAUACGUAGGUGGCAAGCGUUAUCCGGAAUUAUUGGGCGUAAAGCGCGCGUAGGCGGUUUUUUAAGUCUGAUGUGAAAGCCCACGGCUCAACCGUGGAGGGUCAUUGGAAACUGGAAAACUUGAGUGCAGAAGAGGAAAGUGGAAUUCCAUGUGUAGCGGUGAAAUGCGCAGAGAUAUGGAGGAACACCAGUGGCGAAGGCGACUUUCUGGUCUGUAACUGACGCUGAUGUGCGAAAGCGUGGGGAUCAAACAGGAUUAGAUACCCUGGUAGUCCACGCCGUAAACGAUGAGUGCUAAGUGUUAGGGGGUUUCCGCCCCUUAGUGCUGCAGCUAACGCAUUAAGCACUCCGCCUGGGGAGUACGACCGCAAGGUUGAAACUCAAAGGAAUUGACGGGGACCCGCACAAGCGGUGGAGCAUGUGGUUUAAUUCGAAGCAACGCGAAGAACCUUACCAAAUCUUGACAUCCUUUGACAACUCUAGAGAUAGAGCCUUCCCCUUCGGGGGACAAAGUGACAGGUGGUGCAUGGUUGUCGUCAGCUCGUGUCGUGAGAUGUUGGGUUAAGUCCCGCAACGAGCGCAACCCUUAAGCUUAGUUGCCAUCAUUAAGUUGGGCACUCUAAGUUGACUGCCGGUGACAAACCGGAGGAAGGUGGGGAUGACGUCAAAUCAUCAUGCCCCUUAUGAUUUGGGCUACACACGUGCUACAAUGGACAAUACAAAGGGCAGCGAAACCGCGAGGUCAAGCAAAUCCCAUAAAGUUGUUCUCAGUUCGGAUUGUAGUCUGCAACUCGACUACAUGAAGCUGGAAUCGCUAGUAAUCGUAGAUCAGCAUGCUACGGUGAAUACGUUCCCGGGUCU